GAUGAACGCUGGCGGCGUGCCUAAUACAUGCAAGUCGAGCGAACGGACGAGAAGCUUGCUGCUCGGAUGUUAGCGGCGGACGGGUGAGAAACACGAGGAUCACCUCCCUAUCAUACGGGGAUAACUUCGGGAAACCGGAUCUAAUCGCGGAUAAUAUUUUGAACCGCGUGGUUCAAAGGUGAAAGACGGUCUUGCUGUCACUUAUCGAUGGAUCCGGGCUGCAUUAGCUAGUUGGUCAGGUAAUGGGUUAUCAAGGCAACGAGGCAUAGACGACCUGAGAGAGUGAUAGGCGACACGGGAAGUGAGACAGGGUCAAUACGACUACGGGAGGCAGCAGUAGGGAAUCGUCGGCAAUAGGGGAAAGCCUUACGGAGUAGCGCCGAGUGAGUGAUGAAGGUCUUCGGUUCGUAAAAACCGGUUACUAGUGAAGAACCUAUGUGUAAGUAAAUGUGCACAUAGUGACGGUACCUAGUAAAAAAGCCCCGGCUAACUACGUG
This 497-nucleotide ribosomal RNA is filed under the name uncultured bacterium. Its description in RNAcentral is "partial 16S ribosomal RNA". It matches the Rfam family "Bacterial small subunit ribosomal RNA", at positions 28 to 507 of the family's 1533-position model. The record is from RNAcentral.